Cucumis melo (muskmelon) is the source of this 7004-nucleotide RNA transcript. RefSeq lists it as uncharacterized. NCBI's taxonomy places the organism in Eukaryota, Viridiplantae, Streptophyta, Magnoliopsida, Cucurbitales, Cucurbitaceae. The transcript has 8 exons. The record is from RefSeq and is a predicted model, not a curated record.
CAAAGUUCUUUCACUCUUCUCAAUCUCAUCAUUUUCUUCCCUCUCUUCUCUGACAGCUGCCGCCACCGCCACCAGCAUUCAUCACUUUCUUCCAUCUCUGUCGUCAGUCAUCAUUUACAUUGUGCUCAUUGUCGCCACCACCGUGCUCAGCCAUCGCCACUAUCAUGCCCAGUCGUGUCUGUCUCAGAAGCUCAGGUCUACUUGUGGCUAGAUCAGCAUCCGAAGCAACGUUGAACGCCUUAACUUUCUCUCAGAUCCUCUCGGAAACUUCUUCCAUCUCAGGAUGAAUUAGUUGCAACACAUAAAGAUGAGGACAUCUUGACUGAAUCAUUGGGUUCCAAGGAGCACAGUAGACGUGUAAGAGGCGUGGGUGAUUUUGUCUCUCAAUCACAAUAUUUUAACACAGUAAAAGGGAAGGAGAAAAUGUUAACUCCUGAAGUUGCAAUAUAUCAUGAAGAAGAGGAUGACUCGAGAUGCAAAAAUUACAAGAAGAGAAGUAAUCACUCGAGGUCAUCCAUUGGAACUAUUAACAUAGAUCUUGGUGCUGAUAAGGAUAUGGGCAACACACCUAGCAACUAAGAAAUUGAGGAGCAUUCAAUCAUGAAGGGAUGUCAUGUAUUCUUCAAAUUACACGGACGUUAACAAGGCUAGUAAGCUCUUAAAUAGACAUGUUGUGAACAACAUAAAGGAUGUAGACAAUAUUUGCAUCCCAAUGAACGAGCUAAUAUUUGGAAGAGACAAAUUUAUUUAUUUAGCUCGUGAAGACUUGUUGCAUUACUACAGCAUGGUUGAAAUAGGUUAUAUGUGUAUACUAGCAUACAUUACAUAUCUUUGGGAUGAAUGUGACUGUGCAAGGAAGUUUUUUGUUGUUGACCAAUCAAAAAUAUCGUUACAUAUCAAGGAUCGUGAUCUUCGAUCCAGAAAUCUAACCAACCAGUUAGAAGUGGCUAACUUGGAACAAAUAGUUCUAAUUCCAUAUAAUACCAGAAAUUUAUGUUUAUGUCUUAGACUCUCUUUGGAGUAAAGUCAAUGAAGACAUUCAUGGAUUCAUAAAUGUAGGGUUGAAGACAUGGCAAGCUGAACACGAUCUACAACGCUAUCGGUCAACUCCAAAAUGGAAACCUGUAAAGGGUGGGGGUUCUAUGUGCAAAAGUACAUACAAGAGAUAUUAUAUAAUUCUAAUACUCCUAUUACUAGCCUUGUAAGUUCCUACUUUCACUUUUUAUAUGUUAUAAUUUAUGAUCUAAACUCAUUCUUUACAUAGUCAACUCAAGGGUGAAAUAACAGAGCUCAAAGCGCAGAAUCAGGAGUUCCAAACACAACUUAUUGCAAUGAGGGCAUAAAAUGAGGCGAUAAGGGAAUAUAAUGUAUUGAAAGCAAUUACCAACAACCCAAGACUUACGUGGAAACCCGAGAACCAGGAGAAAAACUACGAUACUUUUAUUUUUAUUAUUUUUCUUAUGAACGAAUACAAUAGGUACAAAAUAAAUAGAGUACAAUAGGAGUAAGAAAGGAAAAGAUCUAGGAAAGAUUUGGGAAACAAAAUCUUAUAUAUUAUUCUUUCCAAAAAUACUCUAAGGGCAAAGCCCUACUAAUUCUAACACUCCCCCUCAAGUUGGGACGUAAAUAUCAAUGAGUCCCAACUUGCUGACACAAAGGUCGAAGUGUGGUCUGAGAAGCUCCUUGGUGAGAACAUCAGCAACCUGUUGGCUUGAAGGAAUGUACGGAAUGCAUAUGCUUCCACUGUCAAGUUUUUCUUUGAUGAAAUGUCGAUCAAUCUCAACAUGUUUAGUUCGAUCAUGUUGAACUAGGUUGUUAGCAAUACUAAUAGCGGCUUUAUUAUCACAAAAAAGCUUUAAUGGUGUCUCACAUUCCUGAUGAAGAUCUGAUAGGACUUUCUGGAGCCAAAUUUCCUCACAUAUUCUCAAACUCAUAGCUUUAUAUUCAGCCUCAACACUGCUCCUGGCCACAACACUUUGCUUUUUACUCCUUCAAGUUACAAGAUUGCCCCAAACAAAGGUACAAUAACCGGAGGUAGACUUUCUGUCAAUAACAGAUCCUGCCCAAUCUGAGUCAGUAUAUGUCUCAAUGGUCUUUCUAUUUUUUUUUUCUAAACAUCAACCUUUUACCAGGUGUAUUUUUCAAGUAUCUUAGGAUUCUGUUAACAGCUUCCAUAUGUUUCUCAUAGGGAGCCUGCAUAAACUGGCUGACAACACUCACAGCAAAGGAAAUAUCAGGACGAGUAUGAGAUAAGUAAAUUAAUUUACCUACAAGGCGCUGAUAUUGUUCUUUAUCAACUGAAACUUGAUCAUCAGAGUUUCCUAGUUUACAGUUAAAUUCAAUAGGAGUAUCAGCAGGACGACAUCCUAACAUAUCUGUCUCGGUUAGCAAAUCAAAGGUGUAUUUUCUCUAAGACACAGAGAUACCUUCUUUAGAUCUGGCCACCUCCAUUCCAAGGAAAUAUUUCAGAUUUUCCAAAUCCUUGAUUUCAAAUUCAUCACCCAUUCUCUGCUUUAGUUGACUGAUUUCUGUUUGAUCAUCUACAGUCAAAACAAUGUCAUCCAUAUAAACUAUUAGAAUAGCAAUCUUUCCUGUCUUGGAAACCUUUGUAAAUAAAGUAUGGUCAAAGUGCCCUUGACUGUACUCUUGGGACUUGACAAAGGUAGUGAAUCUGUCAAACCAUGCUUUGGGAGACUGUUUCAGACCAUAUAGGGAUUUUUGGAGUUUACACACCUGCUGACCAAAUUGGGCUUCAAAUUCUGGCGGGGGGCUCAUGUAGACUUCCUCCACAAGGUCUCCAUUCAAAAAAGCAUUCUUAACAUCCAGCUGGUAUAGAGGCCAAUCUUUGUUCACAGCAACAGAUAGCAGGACUCUAACAGUAUUCAACUUAGCAACUGGAGAAAAGGUUUCUGAAUAGUCAAUACCAUAUGUCUGAGUAAAUCCCUUUACAACUAACCUUGCCUUGUGUCUAUUAAGCGUACCAUCUGCUUUGUAUUUGAGAGAGAACACUCAUUUGCAUCCUACAGUUUUAUGUCCCUUGAGUAGAGCACAGAUUUCCUAAGUUCUAUUCUUUUCAAGAGUCUUCAUCUUUUCCAUAACAACAUUCUUCCAUUCAGGACACUCUAGAGUAGUGUAGAUAUUUUUCGGUAUUAUGGUAGAGUCAAGGCUUGCUGUAAACACUCUAAAUUGUGGAGAGAGAUUAUCAUAGGAAACAUAGUUGCAAAUGGGAUGUUUAGUGCAGGAUUUAGUACCUUUUCUCAAUGCAAUUGGAAUGUCAAGAGAGGGAUCAUACUCAUCAUGUUUCCUUGUAUGACCUUGUUCAGCUUCAUCGUUACUGGUUUUUAUUCUAACCUCAAUCUCAUCACCAUGGUUCUUUUCUUCCAUAUUUUCAAGAACAGCAACAUCAGACCUGUCAUUCUCACUCAUCGUAUUAUUAGUACAAGGUUCUGUAGGGUUUUCCAUACCUUGGUCUCGAAGAGGUUCGAAAUCUUGGACUGGAGUCGGCGGUUGACUAGUAAGGGACCCAACUUCCUUUCUGAGAUUCCUCUUAUAAUAUGUUUUUCCAGGGAACUUGGUUUGUGGGUAAGAUUAUGGGAUGAGGAUCAACGUCAGAUACGGUACUAGGAGUAGGUUCAAUAAAUUCAAAGGUGUUGUUAGACUCUUCACUCACACUCUCUCCCUGAAGAUGGCUAACGGGAAAGUAGGGUCGGUUUUCACAGAAAGUAACAUCCAUUGUGACAAAAUAUUUCCUAGACGGCGGGUGAAAACAUUUAUAACCACGCUGGUGAGGGGGAUACCCAACAAACACACAAGCCUGAGCCCGAGGGGUAAAUUUGGUUUGAUUAGGGACAAAAUUAUGGACAAAAGCGAUACACCCGAACACACGAAGAGGAAUCUCAGAGACAAGGCGAGUAGAGGGGUAAGACUCCUUAAGACAAUCUAAAGGAGUCUAAAGGUGGAGGAUACGAGAAGGCAUUCUAUUGAUUAAAUGAGCGGCUGUAAGAAUAGCAUCUCCUCACAGGUAUGAUAGAAGGGAAGUGGAAAGCGUAAGUGAACGGGCUACUUCCACAAGGUGACGAUUUUUUCUUUCAGCCACCCCAUUUUGUUGAGGAGUGUAGGCACACGAGGUUUGGUGAACAAUCCCUUUUGAGGUUAGAAAUUUACUAAGGUUAUGGUUUUGGAAUUCACAACCAUUAUCACUCCGAAGAAUUGCAAUUUUUGUAUGAAAUUUUAUUUUGAUAGUAUGAUAGAAGUUUUGGAAAAUGGAUAGAACCUCAGAUUUAUCUAUGAUAAGGUAGACCUAGGUAAGACGGGUAUGGUCAUCGAUGAAAGUUACAAACCAUCGCUUUCCCGAGGAGGCGGUGACCUUGGAAGGACCCCAAAUGUCACUAUGAAUGAAGGUAAACGGUUGUGUAGGUCUAUAUGGUUGUGAGGGAAAAGAGACCCGAUGUUGUUUAGCCUGGAUACACACAUCACAAGAUAGAGAAGAGACAUCAAGUUUAGAAAAAAGGUAGGGAAAUAAAUAUUGCAUAUAUGUAAAGUUUGGGUGGCCCAGUCGAAAAUGCCACAAGAUACAGUCUUAUUCAGAAGUGAAAAAGUAGGAUGACAGUAAACUAACCUUAGACAAACUACUACAUGAGGUAUCAUCAUCAAGGAUGUAGAGUUCCCUGCUAUGUCGGGUAGUGCCAAUCAUCCUCCCCGAGCUCAUGUCCUGAAAAUAAAUCGAUUCAAGUAAGAAGAUAACUUUAUAAUGCAACUCACAAGUGAUCUUGCUUAUAGAUAAUAAAUUGCAAGACAGUUUAGGGACAUGUAAAAUAUUCUGGAGAGUAAAACAAUCAAAGGAAACUAUUUGUCCUUUACCAGCGAUCGGAGCUAGAGAGCCAUCGGUUAUUUGGAUUUUUUUCAUUACCGACACACGGGGCAUACGAGAUAAAGUGUUCCGAAGAACCUGUCAAGUGAUCUGUAGCCCCCGAGUCUAAGAUCCAGGGAUUCUUUCCAUCAACGCUAAUAAGCCCAAGGGACUGAGGCAUACCUGACUGAGCAAUGGCACCCAGAGUAGGAGUCUUAGUUUGGCUCGCAGUAGGAUCAGUUGAUUGAGAAGUGCUGGCAAGGAUAGUCUCACUAAUGUAGGCACGUCUUGAGUUCUGUUUCUCGUGGGAGGACCGUUUCUUACAUCCUGGGGACAACCGUGGAGUUUCCAACACUGAUCCUUAGUGUGCCAAUGUUUCUUGCAGUGCUCACACAUAGGAAUUGACUUUCCAUUAUUCUUGUCACCGUCAUGGUUUGAGGACCGAGUGUUAAAGACAGUGGAGUCAAUGGUAGGGGUAGUCAGUACACCUAUGGCAUUAGUGCGAUCUUCUUCCAAGUGGACAUCAAAACAAACUUCCAUUAAGGAGGGAAGAGGUCUUUGUCCGAGUACACGACCACAAACAGUAUCAAAUUUGGGAUUAAGUCCUGCAAGAAAGUCAUAAACACGGUCAGCCUCUUCAAGUUUAGCAUAUUGUGUACCGUCAUUUGGUGUGUCCUAAACUCUCUCUGCACAAAUCCAUCUCUUUCCAGAGGAGAGAGAGCUUGUUAAACAGGUGAACGUCCAGGGCCCCUUGUUUGUAAUUAUGGACCUGUUUUCGCAGUGUAUACAACCGAGGCGCAUUCUAUCGUUUCGAGUAAAGGGUCUGGGUUAUAUCCCACAAAUCUUUUGUUGUGGCUGCAUAUAGUAGAGGCUUGCCGAUCUAUGGUUCCAUACUAUUAAUCAGCAUGGACCAAAUAAGUGAGUCCUCCCCUUUCUAAAGUUAUUCCAAGGCGUCUCCUGGUAGAGGACGUACAAUCUCUCCAAUUAAGAAGUCGAACUGGUGGCGACCUUCGAGGAACAUCUUUAUUGAUUGGGACCACGAAAAAUAAUUUUGCCCAUUUAAUUUUUCACCUGAAAAAUUUCCUGUAGACGAACCCAAAGAGCCAGUUAUAUAAUUUGACGGUAACUUAGGGAACGAAAUUACCAGAUUCUUGGAAUACAACAGCAACUCGGUUGGUUUGGAAUGUGUCGAAGACUCACCCGCUUCAAUGUCUGAUCUGUUCUAGGGUUGAUUAAUUUUGUUACCAAAAAACAUCGAUUUCUGUAAAGAGUUAACGUACAACGGAUGCUUACUAUAUAAAUUUGAUAGAUUUACGGUUGAGGGUUGUUAUCUGGAGCUCAUAGGUGACGCGUGAGAAUGCGGAUGGCCGAAAGGGUUUGACGAUUGGACGUCCAACGGUGCGUAGAAGGGAAUGGGUUGGGCGGUUUCUAUAGGUUCUAGAGUAGUUUCUCCAUAGCGGCGGCGGCGGCGUCCACGGUGGCGACGAUCUCGGCGACGGCGAUAGUGACGGGUUCAGUUUCGAUCUGGGUUUCUCCCAAGUUGUUUUCUAGGAUUUCGUUAUUGUUUUGCUUUGAUACCAUAUUGAAAACAAUUAACAACAACCCAAGACUUACGUGGAAACCCAAGAACUAGGAGAAAAACCACGAUAUUUUUAUUUUUAUUAUUUUUCUUAUCAACGAAUACAAUACGUACAAAGGGAGAGAAUAAAUAGAGUACAAUAGGAGUAAGAAAGGAAAAGAUCUAGGAAAGAUUUAGGAAACAAAAUCUUAUAUAUUAUUCUUUCCAAAAAUACUCUAAGGGCAAAGCCUUACUAAUUUAACGUAAUGAAACCUGACUGGUUUGUAGAGAAGCCGGCUGCGAGGUGAGACACACAAUUCACCACGUUAUUAAGAUAUCAACAUUUAUUAAUGGUAGCACCAUUCCAGUGCCUCAGGUUCCACAGAACAUAGUAAGACCCCUAACGGGUUUUGACCCGACGAUUGGAGCAAGGAGGAAUCAACAACCUCCGCCACCACCACCACCGUGUAGCUUUAAAAGCGGAUUGUUCUGUAUUUUUGAAUAUUUCUUAUUUUUGCGACUUUUUUAAAUCUUCACUUAUGUAAUUUAUAUUCCUUGUAUUUAUGAUUUUUCAAUACAAGUACAUACUUUGACAAA